Molecule: long non-coding RNA, 1590 nt
Filed under: Cricetulus griseus (Chinese hamster)
Lineage: Eukaryota; Metazoa; Chordata; Mammalia; Rodentia; Cricetidae
Description: lncRNA (ENSCGRG00015032889.1)
Source: RNAcentral
GUCAGCUACUCACAGCAGUUCCUGCAACCUCGGCUGCCAUGAUCUUUUUUAUUAAUUUAGCCAGUUCGUUGAGAUUCGUGGCAGGAUUUGAGCCUCAUACGAGACCCUUCUCCUGGCCUUUGUGGAGGAGUUACCAGGCUUCAGAAAUCCUCUCAUUAAAGAAGAUGCUGGAAGGAGGGUUUCUUGGAAGAGCUAGGCCUUAAGCAAGACUGGGAAAUAUAUGUGGCAAACAAGGAAGAGGAGGAAUCCACUUCAGACAAAAAUGGGUAAAAAUCAGAAGAACAGGGAAUAAAAAUCACACCCACAAUCCUUUCCCACAUCAUCACAGGGACAACUAGACUACAGGAGAAAGAAGAGGUUUGCUUUUGUUUACUACUUUCUGAAGUUGGGACUUCAUCUUCGAAGUGAUGGGAAUCAAGGACAAGGUCACAGGACAAGAACGGCCCAGGGGAUCUGUUGCUGUUACCCAGUGGAGGAGGCAACAGGUGCCAUGGCAACCCAUCUGCAUUCCUCAUCUCUCUCCUUGCCCAUUGUGUCUCCUUGUGGGGCAUAGUAAAUGCAGAGAUCAGCGAGGCUCUGCUUCUAGGCUAAAGGUCAUGGCUAGAAAAGACUUGGAACCAAGCUGAAAAUCCGGCUUCCCUGCCAUAACUCCUGUCAGCUUGUUAAGCACUUCUGUUUAUACAAGUCUUGGAGUGAGCAUUGCUCUCUCAGGCUCUGACAUAGACCCUGGCCUCCAUAGCUUGCUUUCCAGGGAACCUCAGCAAACCACAAAAAGACUCGUGCUAUUUCUUCCUUCUUUACCCAGUGGGUUUUUUUUUUUUUUAAUACAAGACAAUGAACUGUUUCUCUCGAUGUUGAAAUAUCUUCUCUUGCAGAGAAGCUUAGCAGAGAACACAAGCUCCAGCACAAGAGGAGGCACACCCAGCCCAGGCCACUUCUGACCCUGUGUUGAACUCAGUCUUGCCCUUGCCCAAAUCAAGGUCUAAGCCAGUACCUAGAGGAGGACUGCUGGUCUAAUUGCUGAGAAGCCUCCUGCUCUCAAACUCUGCAGUACCCAAGCCUGAAUCCUUCCCUAGAAACAUCGACCUGUCUGAGCCCAGUCAUGCCCACUGCUGAGAGCAGAGCUGGUUGCUCAUUGCUGUGUGCCACAGAGAGGGUGGAUGCUAGGAGACUUACCUUCGAAUGAGGGUUUUAGUUCACAUGUCCAAGCCGUCCUGUGUUGGGCAUGGCGUUCACUCCCCAGAAUCUUGUGGUCACGUGGGAGUGCCUGUAGUGGUGGCAGGGGCAGAUGCCCCUGUGCCUGUCCUUCUCUGUUUGGUGUCUCCAUUCAGACCAUUCUCCUUGCUUUGCUGCCCUGCUCUGUGUUCCCUGAGGAUGCUGGGAACCUAGCUACCAGCUUCCGCUGCUCCUGGCUUCCUUUCUCGCUUGACCUGCACGAGGCAGGGGUAGGAGGUCAGGCUUAGAGGGGCAUCUCUUCCCCUCUAUGGUCUUGCUGCAGUGCUUUGCCCCUAGUGGGGGCCAUGUCCCUCCAUGCUGUAGCUCUCCCAGGUGACCAGGGAGGGUCCAAGCUCUCACCAGACCCAGCUACAU